RNAcentral lists this ribosomal RNA (235 nucleotides) under uncultured bacterium. RNAcentral's name for it is "partial 16S ribosomal RNA". It matches the Rfam family "Bacterial small subunit ribosomal RNA", at positions 96 to 334 of the family's 1533-position model. The record is from RNAcentral.
UGGCGGACGGGUGAGUAAUGUCUGGGAAACUGCCCGAUGGAGGGGGAUAACUACUGGAAACGGUAACUAAUACCGCAUAAUGUCUACGGACCAAAGCGGGGGACCUCCGGGCCUCGCGCCAUCAGAUGAACCCAUAUGGGAUUAGCUAGUAGGUAAGGUAACGGCUUACCUAGGCGACGAUCCCUAGCUGGUCUGAGAGGAUGAUCAGCCACACUGGGACUGAGACACGGCCCAG